AGAGUUUGAUCCUGGCUCAUAUUGACCGCUGGCGGCAGGCUUAACACAUGCAACUCGAGCGGAGAUGAGGUGCUUGCACCUUAUCUUAGCGGCGGACGGGUGAGUAAUGCUUAGGAAUCUGCCUAUUAUUGGGGGACAACAUUCCGAAAGGGAUGCUAAUACCGCAUACGUCCUACGGGAGAAAGCAGGGGAUCUUCGGACCUUGCGCUAAUAGAUGAGCCUAAGUCGGAUUAGCUAGUUGGUGGGGUAAAGGCCUACCAAGGCGACGAUCUGUAGCGGGUCUGAGAGGAUGAUCCGCCACACUGGGACUGAGACACGGCCCACACUCCUACGGGAGGCAGCAGUGGGGAAUAUUGGACAAUGGGGGGAACCCUGAUCCAGCCAUGCCGCGUGUGUGAAGAAGGCCUUAUGGUUGUAAAGCACUUUAAGCGAGGAGGAGGCUACUGAGACUAAUACUCUUGGAUAGUGGACGUUACUCGCAGAAUAAGCACCGGCUAACUCUGUGCCAGCAGCCGCGGUAAUACAGAGGGUGCGAGCGUUAAUCGGAUUUACUGGGCGUAAAGCGUGCGUAGGCGGCUUUCUAAGUCGGAUGUGAAAUCCCCGAACUUAACUUGGGAAUCGCAUUCGAUACUGGGAAGCUAGAGUAUGGGAGAGGAUGGUAGAAUUCCAGGUGUAGCGGUGAAAUGCGUAGAGAUCUGGAGGAAUACCGAUGGCGAAAGCACCCAUCUGGCCUAAUACUGACGCUGAGGUAUGAAAGCAUGGGGAGCAAACAGGAUUAAAACCCCUGGUAGUCCAUGCCGUAACCAUGUCUACUUAGCCGUUGGGAGCUUU
Molecule: ribosomal RNA, 831 nt
Filed under: uncultured soil bacterium
Lineage: Bacteria
Description: bacterial SSU rRNA
Rfam family: Bacterial small subunit ribosomal RNA
Source: RNAcentral